CUUCAAUCGUUUGCAUCUCUCUUAGUUCUAAGCACCCACUUACAUCCAAUUGUUGUGGAAAGAUGUGGUUCUUUCACCAUUCACCUUGUGGUCUUCUCUCACGUGUUGGAUAUCUUCUUUCAUGCAAAGAAGAUGAGCCUUCUUGUACCUCUUGCUGCCUUGUAUGACUCAUGGAGUGCUUUCUCUUACUCAUUUGUUGGUAUUCUUCAUCUUCAUUCUCUUCAUUGUCCUUGUUGUAUCUUGCUGGAAUUGAAGUCUUCAUAGUAUUGGGCUCUUCUAUCAUGGCAACUUCCUCU
Molecule: long non-coding RNA, 296 nt
Filed under: Physcomitrium patens
Lineage: Eukaryota; Viridiplantae; Streptophyta; Bryopsida; Funariales; Funariaceae
Description: long non-coding RNA (PPAT_LNC003079)
Source: RNAcentral